This 497-nucleotide ribosomal RNA is filed under the name uncultured bacterium. RNAcentral's name for it is "partial 16S ribosomal RNA". It matches the Rfam family "Bacterial small subunit ribosomal RNA", at positions 28 to 507 of the family's 1533-position model. The record is from RNAcentral.
GAUGAACGCUGGCGGCGUGCCUAAUACAUGCAAGUCGAGCGAACGGACGUGAUGCUUGCUUCUCUGAUGUUAGCGGCGGACGGGUGAGUAACAUGUGGAUAACCUACCUAUAAGACUGGGAUAACUUCGGGAAACGGGAGCUAAUACCGGAUAAUAUCUUGAACCGCAUGGUUCAAGAGUGAAAGACGGUCUUGCUGUCACUUAUAGAUGGAUCCGCGCUGCAUUAGCUAGUUGGUAAGGUAACGGCUUACCAAGGCAACGAUGCAUAGCCGACCGGAGAGGGGGAUCGGCCAAACUGGAACUGGGACACGGUCCAGACUCCUACGGGAGGAAGAAGAAGGGAAUCUUCGGAAAUGAGCGAAAGCCUGACGGAGCAACGCGGCGGGAGUGAUGAAGGUCUCCGGAUCGUAAAACUCUGUGAUAAGGGAAGAACAUAUGUGGAAUGAACUGUGCACAAAGUGACGGUAACUAAUCAGAAAGCCACGGCUAACUACGUG